AAGGACUUAGAUUAAUCAAUUACCUUCAAAGUUAUAAAUAAAAUAAUAUUAAUAUUUUAGGCCUUA
RNAcentral lists this transfer RNA (66 nucleotides) under Ptygomastax nihilsulcus. RNAcentral describes it as "tRNA-Trp". The record is from RNAcentral. Lineage: Eukaryota; Metazoa; Arthropoda; Insecta; Orthoptera; Eumastacidae.